GGGGUAAUGGCCUACCAAGGCGACGACGGGUAGCCGGCCUGAGAGGGUGACCGGCCACACUGGGACUGAGACACGGCCCAGACUCCUACGGGAGGCAGCAGUGGGGAAUAUUGCACAAUGGGCGGAAGCCUGAUGCAGCGACGCCGCGUGCGGGAUGACGGCCUUCGGGUUGUAAACCGCUUUCAGUAGGGACGAAGCUUUUGUGACGGUACCUACAGAAGAAGCACCGGCUAACUACGUGCCAGCAGCCGCGGUAAUACGUAGGGUGCGAGCGUUGUCCGGAAUUAUUGGGCGUAAAGAGCUUGUAGGCGGUUUGUCGCGUCUGCUGUGAAAGCCCGGGGCUUAACCCUGGGUCUGCAGUGGGUACGGGCAGGCUAGAGUGUGGUAGGGGAGACUGGAAUUCCUGGUGUAGCGGUGGAAUGCGCAGAUAUCAGGAGGAACGCCGAUGGCGAAGGCAGGUCUCUGGGCCAUUACUGACGCUGAGAAGCGAAAGCGUGGGGAGCGAACAGGAUUAGAUACCCUGGUAGUCCACGCCGUAAACGUUGGGCGCUAGGUGUGGGUCCCAUUCCACGGGGUCCGUGCCGCAGCUAACGCAUUAAGCGCCCCGCCUGGGGAG
Molecule: ribosomal RNA, 616 nt
Filed under: uncultured bacterium
Lineage: Bacteria
Description: bacterial SSU rRNA
Rfam family: Bacterial small subunit ribosomal RNA
Source: RNAcentral